UAAGCAUAUCAAUAAGCGGAGGAAAAGAAACCAACAGGGAUUGCCCUAGUAACGGCGAGUGAAGCGGCAAAAGCUCAGAUUUGAAAUCUCUCUAUUUAAUAGAGCGAAUUGUAGUCUGUAGAAGGUUGGAUGGCUGACGCCUCUGAUAUAAGUUCCCUGGAAUAGGACAUCAUAGAGGGUGAGAAUCCCGUGAUUUUAUCAGUUUGGCUAGGCUACUAAAUUCACCUUUCGACGAGUCGAGUUGUUUGGGAAUGCAGCUCUAAAUGGGUGGUAAAUUUCAUCUAAAGCUAAAUAUCUGCCAGAGACCGAUAGCGAACAAGUAGCGUGAGCGAAAGGUGAAAAGCACUUUGAAAAGAGAGUUAAAAAGUACGUGAAAUUGUUGAAAGGGAAGCGCUUGCUGUUAGACUUGAUAGCUAAAUUCAGCCAACUCAUGGGUUCGGCCUAUUUUUUAGUUUUUCAGGCCAGCAUCAGUUCAGCGGGAGAGUUAAAAGUGAAAGGAAUGUAGUAAUUGCUUCGGCAGUCAUGUUAUAGCCUUUUGCAGCAUCUCUCCACGCCGGACUGAGGUCUGCUCUUCGGAAAGGAUGCUGGCAUAAUGACAGUAAGCGACCCGUCUUGAA
This 617-nucleotide ribosomal RNA is filed under the name Caleniopsis laevigata. RNAcentral's name for it is "partial large subunit ribosomal RNA". It matches the Rfam family "Eukaryotic large subunit ribosomal RNA", at positions 35 to 658 of the family's 3401-position model. The record is from RNAcentral. Lineage: Eukaryota; Fungi; Ascomycota; Lecanoromycetes; Ostropales; Graphidaceae.